UGCCGGACCUGACUGCUAUCGGAUUGAUACUAAGCCAUGCGAGUCAUUGUAGCAAUACAAGGCAUACGGCUCAGUAACGCGUAGUCAAUCUAACCUAUGGACGGGGAUAACCUCGGGAAACUGAGAAUAAUACCCGAUAGAACAUUAUGCCUGGAAUGGUUUAUGUUUCAAAUAAUUUAUUGCCGUAGGAUGGGACUGCGGCCUAUCAGUUUGUUGGUGAGGUAAUGGCCCACCAAGACUAUUACAGGUACGGGCUCUGAGAGGAGUAGCCCGGAGAUGGGUACUGAGACACGGACCCAGGCCCUAUGGGGCGCAGCAGGCGAGAAAACUUUGCAAUGUGCGAAAGCACGACAAGGUUAAUCCGAGUGGUUUCUGCUAAAGGAACCUUUUGUUAGUCAUAGAACCACUAAUGAAUAAGGGGUGGGCAAGUUCUGGUGUCAGCCGCCGCGGUAAAACCAGCACCUCAAGUGGUCAGGAUGAUUAUUGGGCCUAAAGCAUCCGUAGCCUGCUUUGUAAGUUUUCGGUUAAAUCCAUACGCUUAACGUAUGGGCUGCCGGGAAUACUGCACGGCUAGGGAGUGGGAGAGGUAGACGGUACUCGGGAGGAAGUGGUAAAAUGCUUUGAUCUCUCGAUGACCACCUGUGGCGAAGGCGGUCUACCAGAACACGUCCGACGGUGAGGGAUGAAAGCUGGGGGAGCAAACCGGAUUAGAUACCCGGGUAG
This 723-nucleotide ribosomal RNA is filed under the name uncultured archaeon. Its description in RNAcentral is "bacterial SSU rRNA". It matches the Rfam family "Archaeal small subunit ribosomal RNA", at positions 15 to 744 of the family's 1478-position model. The record is from RNAcentral.